UAGGGAAUCUUCGGCAAUGGGGGGAACCCUGACCGAGCAACGCCGCGUGAGUGAAGAAGGUUUUCGGAUCGUAAAGCUCUGUUGUUAAGGAAGAACGAGUGUGAGAAUGGAAAGUUCAUACUAUGACGGUACUUAACCAGAAAGGGACGGCUAACUACGUGCCAGCAGCCGCGGUAAUACGUAGGUCCCGAGCGUUGUCCGGAUUUAUUGGGCGUAAAGCGAGCGCAGGCGGUUAGAUAAGUCUGAAGUUAAAGGCAGUGGCUCAACCAUUGUAGGCUUUGGAAACUGUUUAACUUGAGUGCAGAAGGGGAGAGUGGAAUUCCAUGUGUAGCGGUGAAAUGCGUAGAUAUAUGGAGGAACACCGGUGGCGAAAGCGGCUCUCUGGUCUGUAACUGACGCUGAGGCUCGAAAGCGUGGGGAGCGAACAGG
RNAcentral lists this ribosomal RNA (429 nucleotides) under Bacteroidota bacterium. RNAcentral's name for it is "Bacteroidetes bacterium partial 16S ribosomal RNA". It matches the Rfam family "Bacterial small subunit ribosomal RNA", at positions 355 to 776 of the family's 1533-position model. The record is from RNAcentral. Lineage: Bacteria; Pseudomonadati; Bacteroidota.